CAAUAGCGUAUAUUAAAGUUGUUGCAGUUAAAAAGCUCGUAGUUGGAUUUCUGGUGGGAGCGAUCGGUCUGGCGCUUAGCGCGAGUACUUGCAUCGUCUCCGGCCAUCCUUGGGGAGAGUCUGUCUGGCAUUAAGUUGUCGGGCAGAGGAUCCUCAUCGUUUACUGUGAAAAAAUUAGAGUGUUCAAAGCAGGCUUAUGCCGUUGAAUAUAUUAGCAUGGAAUAAUAAGAUAGGACUUUGGCACUAUUUUGUUGGUUUGCGCACCAAAGUAAUGAUUAAUAGGGACAGUUGGGGGUAUUCGUAUUCCGUUGUCAGAGGUGAAAUUCUUGGAUUUACGGAAGACGAACUACUGCGAAAGCAUUUACCAAGGAUGUUUUCAUUAA
Molecule: ribosomal RNA, 383 nt
Filed under: uncultured eukaryote
Lineage: Eukaryota
Description: partial 18S ribosomal RNA
Rfam family: Eukaryotic small subunit ribosomal RNA
Source: RNAcentral